UGAGAGUAGAAUUCAUCCACAUCGUAAGUGAGAGCACGGACGAGGCCGGAGCGGCGAGCGUUAUAGUCUUUGAAGAUUUCUUCUACAGUACGAGGACUAGAAGAGAUGGAAGCCAUUUAUAUGCAUAAACUAGUGUAUAUAUAAUCAGAGGAAAGUAGCAGAUCGGAGAAAUUCUAGUUUGGGUUUCAAGAGGAGAACUGUGGAAGCAUCGAUUAGAGCGUUUAAGGAAAAGAUUGAGAAUAUAGAAAGAGAGAGAGAGAAAGUGGGAAGAGAGAAGCCAGGAGGAGAAGACGAAAGGAGGUUAGUGUCGUGUCAGGAAGAAGCUUUGUUGUUGGCCACUGCUUCGGGCUUUGUGCUAUUUAAAG
Molecule: unclassified non-coding RNA, 365 nt
Filed under: Hevea brasiliensis (rubber tree)
Lineage: Eukaryota; Viridiplantae; Streptophyta; Magnoliopsida; Malpighiales; Euphorbiaceae
Source: RNAcentral